AACCACUUCGGUGGUCAUCAGUAAAAAUUGGAACGAUACAGAGAAGAUUAGCAUGGCCCCUGCGCAAGGAUGACACGCAUAAAUCGAGAAGUAUCGCACUUUUUG
RNAcentral lists this small nuclear RNA (105 nucleotides) under Phytophthora infestans T30-4. The record is from RNAcentral. Lineage: Eukaryota; Oomycota; Peronosporomycetes; Peronosporales; Peronosporaceae.